UUUCUGUGACCUUUGAACAUAUCCCUUAGCCAGGCGUGGUGUUUCGCCUUUAAUCCCAGCACUUGGGAGGCAGAGGCAGGCCGAUUUCUGAGGUCAGCCUGGUCUACAAAGUGAGUUCCAGGACAGCCAGGACUAUACAGAGAAACCCUGUCUCGAAAAACCAAAAAAAAAAAAAAAAAAAAAAAGAAAGAAAGAAAAAAAAAAACCCAUAUCCCUUACUUUGUGUAUAUUUGUGAAUAUACACAUUUGUGUUUGUGUGUGCAGGUGAGUGUGUUUUGUGUGUUUACCAAUGAAUAUCAGAGGUCAACUUUGAUGGUUGUUCCUCAGGACACCAUCUGCUGUGUUUUUUGAGACAGCGUAGUAAAUGAGACUUGAGGCUUGCCAGUUGGCUUAGUUCUGUCUCCAUUCCCGAGUGCUGGGAUUACAAGUGUAUGCCACUUCACCCAGCAUUUUGUGCAAGUCCUGGGAUUCAAAUUAAAGCCCGUGCUUGUGUGGCCAGCACUUUAUCACCUCAGCUAUUUCCCACCCCCAUGUUGCAUACUUUUUUGAGUACACCCUUUCUUCUAGCCUUGGAAGCAGUCAGUAUUCUUCAAGAGUCAGUUCUAGUGAGGGGAAAAUUUAGAAACAAAAAUCUAGAAGCUGAGUGUAGUAGGAGGCUGAGCCAAGACUAAUGUUAAGUUUGAGGCCAUCUUGAUCUUCACAGUAAGUUUGAAGCAAGCCUGCACUGUUUACGAAUUUGUUCAAAAUGAAGGAGAAAACCAAGAUGUAGGCAAUCAGUAUGCUUAAAUUUCUAAUAGAGUAUUAUUUGCAGACUCUCCCAGGGCACAGUGUUAAAUAUAUACAUGUAUCUUAAGUAAGCUUGUUAGGAAGACUGGCAGCAUAUUUUGGGGGUGGCUUUUGCUUGCAGGAUGUAAUAAGCCAGGGGGAAAGUAAUAAACAUUUUUGUCUUCUUUAAAGUCAUCUUUCACCAUGUACCUUGAAAUACUGAAGUUUCUAUAAGAAAUAAUUGUUGAACUUUCAGUUGGUUGUCAGUUUGUAUUACACUUUCCAUUUGUAAGACUUGGAAAUGGAUUUGAGAACUAAUAAACGCUCAGACCUGAAAUUUGCUUGCUAAGCUGUCUUAUGUAGCAGAGAACUGAAUAUCUGAAAACUUAGCAGUUUAUUUGAUUCUUUUGUUGUUGUUGUUAAUUAAUGAUUUUUUUCCUCUUUAAGGUGGUCUCAUGGAUUAUAACCAUUUGGAUAUUUGGUUCACUGACAAUUUUCUUACUGGCUAGAGUUCUUGGUGGAGAAGUAAGUACUUAAUUUUGAAAAAGUAUUUUUCAUAAAAGUGUUUACUUAAAAAAAAAAAAAGAAAAAGUAUUUUUCUUAGUGUUUGUUUUUAUGCUGUUUUCUAGACAGUCUCGUUAGAUAAUCCUAGCUAGCCUGGAACUCACUGUGUGGAUGAAACUGGCAUUGAACUCACAGACCUCAGUCUGCCUCUCUCUCAAGUGCUGGCAUCAAAGGCAUAUGCCACCAUUCCCAGCCACAAAAAUAAAUGGUUCUUGAUCUCAGAAUUAUCCUUAAGUUAUAUUAGUUCUUUUCAGAUGAUAUAUAUUUUUUAAAUCUACUCUAUAAAUACAAGGAAUGAGAGGAGAGGAAAGAUCCCUUCCCACCUAUCAAAUACUAUAUUGCUCUUCAUAGAAGCAUAGAGUUGACAACAGGUCUCCAGCUAGUUCUCAGUUGCCAUAGAGAUUUCUCAGUGUUACCCAGUAUUUGUCCAAAUAGAGAAUAGAUUGGGUUUUUUAUAUUUUUUGAGACAGAGUCUCAUAGAUGAAGGCUUCAGCUUUUGGUCCUUUUGUCUGUAUCUCUCAAGGGAUUGUUAAUAUGUGCCAGCAGUCUCAACCAACAAAUUAAUUUAAAAUACUUAAUUCAAGUUCAUGAACUGGCUAUAUUUUAAGUGUAAAUACUACAUGUUAGCUAAAAAUAACUCUUUCCAAAACAGAAAUGUUAAAAGAAUAGCUUAACAUGUGGCUUCAUGGAAGCCAACCUUUAAGACUGGCUUUCUUCAUUCAGUGCCUUGUGGUGUCUAGUUUUAGGUAAACUAUAUGAAGAAAGCAAGGCUUCACACAGCUGAACAGCUGGAAAAUAGAGUAUUUCAAUAGCUUUUUCAGAUUACUGAACAUUUUGUUCCUAAAUACUACUCCAAAAUGCAGCAAGCAGUAGUUUCUUGAAGGUUUGUUGCAGUUAGGAAUUUGAAUCUAUAUACAUGAACUGGUCAUUAAAAAUUACUCUGAGGUCUGGAGAGUCAGCUCAGUGGUUAAGAGCACUUGUUCUUGCAGAGUACUGGGCUCAGUUCCCAGCAGCCACAUGGUGUUGGGCCACUUGCUUAAACACCAGGCAUACAUGUGGUGCAUAGACACACAUGUAGACAAAACACACAUGUAC
RNAcentral lists this long non-coding RNA (2424 nucleotides) under Mus musculus (house mouse). RNAcentral describes it as "long non-coding RNA chr17:74495377-74497801". The record is from RNAcentral. Lineage: Eukaryota; Metazoa; Chordata; Mammalia; Rodentia; Muridae.